GACGAACGCUGGCGGCGUGCUUAACACAUGCAAGUCGAACGGAAAGGCCCUGCUUUUGUGGGGUGCUCGAGUGGCGAACGGGUAAGUAACACGUGAGUAACCUGCCCUUGACUUUGGGAUAACUUCAGGAAGCUGGGGCUAAUACCGGAUAGGAGCUCCUGCUGCAUGGUGGGGGUUGGAAAGUUUCGGCGGUUGGGGAUGGACUCGCGGCUUAUCAGCUUGUUGGUGGGGUAGUGGCUUACCAAGGCUUUGACGGGUAGCCGGCCUGAGAGGGUGACCGGCCACAUUGGGACUGAGAUACGGCCCAGACUCCUACGGGAGGCAGCAGUGGGGAAUAUUGCACAAUGGGCGGAAGCCUGAUGCAGCAACGCCGCGUGCGGGAUGACGGCCUUCGGGUUGUAAACCGCUUUCGCCUGUGACGAAGCGUGAGUGACGGUAAUGGGUAAAGAAGCACCGGCUAACUACGUG
Molecule: ribosomal RNA, 468 nt
Filed under: uncultured bacterium
Lineage: Bacteria
Description: partial 16S ribosomal RNA
Rfam family: Bacterial small subunit ribosomal RNA
Source: RNAcentral